GGCCACAGCCAUGUUACACUGCAGCCCAAGACCGGUUACUCACUGAAGCUAAGCAGGGCUGAGCCUGGUUAGUACCUGGAUGGGAGACCACUAGGGAACACUAAGGUUGCUGUUGGAA
RNAcentral lists this ribosomal RNA (118 nucleotides) under Danio rerio (zebrafish). Lineage: Eukaryota; Metazoa; Chordata; Actinopteri; Cypriniformes; Danionidae. The record is from RNAcentral.